RNAcentral lists this ribosomal RNA (301 nucleotides) under uncultured bacterium. RNAcentral describes it as "partial 16S ribosomal RNA". It matches the Rfam family "Bacterial small subunit ribosomal RNA", at positions 509 to 807 of the family's 1533-position model. The record is from RNAcentral.
CAGUCGCCACGGGAAUACGUAGGGUGCAAGCGUUAAUCGGAAUUACUGGGCGUAAAGCGUGCGCAGGCGGUUUUGUAAGUCUGUCGUGAAAUCCCCGGGCUCAACCUGGGAAUGGCGAUGGAGACUGCAAGGCUAGAAUCUGGUAGAGGGGGAUGGAAUUCCGCGUGUAGCAGUGAAAUGCGUAGAUAUGCGGAGGAACACCGAUGGCGAAGGCAAUCCCCUGGACCUGUACUGACGCUCAUGCACGAAAGCGUGGGGAGCAAACAGGAUUAGAUACCCCUGUAGUCCAUGUCUCUUAUAC